Molecule: long non-coding RNA, 1316 nt
Organism: Anopheles gambiae (African malaria mosquito)
Lineage: Eukaryota; Metazoa; Arthropoda; Insecta; Diptera; Culicidae
Exons: 2
Source: RefSeq, a predicted model, not a curated record
AGUAUGAAAAUGUCGAUACAAUUUGUCAUGAAUAACUUAAAUUUUAAGAUUUUCGCGCAUAAAAUUAUGACGCGCGCUGUGUGUGCGGCGGCGUAAUUCGCUACUCGCAUAGCCGUCUCGCUUCUUCUUGUGUGUGCUUUACCGUUGCUCACCGCUUCAAGAACAUUGCUGCUCACACACACGUCAGUCUGUGGCAAACAAUUGGAGGGGGAGGACGUGUCGGUUUGCUCCAGAAAUCGUGUGUGAUUUUGGUGUUCUGGAUUUGGUUCCAUCCCUGUUUGUUUUGGUGAAAUUGAAAAGGUAAGACUCAUAGACCGAUGUAAAAGUGAUGUUGAUCAGAACAUCAUCUACCGAAGUGAGAGUAAAGUGAUGUUGAUGGUGACUGAUUAUUUUCUUUGUUUCUUUUCCUGCUUUCAUCCACUGAUGGUGUCGAGCAUCGCCGAGGAUGUGAUCGAAUGCGGAAUAUUCGAAACGAGGAGAUUCAUUCCGGAUUUUGUUUGCAAUAAGCGCUGAACUAAUCCUCCAGCUUACAGGACGGCAAAGGUACACGCACAAACGUGCACACAUCAGCCUUCUCGGAGAACGAGAACACGGGAGGGGGAGACCGGCAACGUAUAGAACCUUUACGCUCCCUCGUGCGUUCGUGCGUGCGUGCGCGCCCGCGUCUAUGUGUGUGUAUGUGUGUGCAUGCCUGCGUGCGUGGCUGUGUGUGUUUUUGCCGCUUCGCAUAACGAGAUCCUACGGGAUCACCUUGCGAAAAACACCAAGAGAGGGGGAGGGGUAGGUAUGUGUGUAUGUGUGUGUAUGUGUGCUUGCAUGCGUGCGUGGCUGUGUAUGUGUGUGUAUGUGUGCUUGCAUGCGUGCGUGGCUGUGUAUGUGUGUGUAUGUGUGCUUUUGCUGUUUGGCGAUCUCCUACGGAAUCACCUUGGGAAAACACGUGGGGGGGGGGGGGGAGGAGUGAGGUGUGUGUGUGCUUGCCUGCGUGCUUUGUGUGUGUGUUUUUGCGUUCACGUUCUACGGGAUCACUUUGCGAAAAACACCAAGGGGAGGAGGAGGUGUUAGUGUGUGUGUGUGUGUGUGUGUGUGUGUGUGUGUGUGUGUGUGUGUGUGUGUGUGUGUGUGUGUGUGUGUGUGUGUGUGUGUGUAUGUUUUUUUUUUCUUUGCCGAUUCGCACUCUCUCGCGGAUCUAGUUGUGUGCGUUAGUUUUUUUUUUAGUUUCUUCGAAAAAUACCUGGGGGAGGAUGUGUGUAUGAAAGAAUGUACUUCAGAAAAGAAAGUGAAAAUAAAAAAAACGAAUAUGAAAUAUGUUAAACGAA